GAUGAACGCUGGCGGCGUGCCUAAUACAUGCAAGUCGAGCGAACAGACGAGGAGCUUGCUCCUCUGGCGUUAGCGGCGGACGGGUGAGUAACACGUGGAUAACCUACCUAUAAGACUGGGAUAACUUCGGGAAACCGGAGCUAAUACCGGGUAAUAUAUUGAACCGCAUGGUUCAAUAGUGAAAGACGGUUUUGCUGUCACUUAUAGAUGGAUCCGCGCCGCAUUAGCUAGUUGGUAAGGUAACGGCUUACCAAGGCAACGAUGCGUAGCCGACCUGAGAGGGUGAUCGGCCACACUGGAACUGAGACACGGUCCAGACUCCUACGGGAGGCAGCAGUAGGGAAUCUUCCGCAAUGGGCGAAAGCUUGACGGAGCAACGCCGCGUGAGUGAUGAAGGUCUUCGGAUCGUAAAACUCUGUUAUUAGGGAAGAACAAAUGUGUAAGUAACUAUGCACGUCUUGACGGUACCUAAUCAGAAAGCCACGGCUAACUACGUG
RNAcentral lists this ribosomal RNA (497 nucleotides) under uncultured bacterium. RNAcentral describes it as "partial 16S ribosomal RNA". It matches the Rfam family "Bacterial small subunit ribosomal RNA", at positions 28 to 507 of the family's 1533-position model. The record is from RNAcentral.